UACCAACUCCCCGAGUGGUAAGGACGAUUAUUUGGCUUAAAGCGUCCGUAGCUCGUUUAGAAAGUCUUCCGUAAAAUCCAGCGAUCCAAUCGUUGGACUGCAGAAGAUACUGCUAGACUAGGAGGCGGGAGAGGUCGACGGUAGUCCAAGGGUAGUGGUGAAAUCCUAUAAUCCUUGGAGGACCACCAGUGGCGAAGGCGGUCGACUAGAACGUGCCUGACGGUGAGGGACGAAAGCUGGGGGAGCGAACCGGAUUAGAUACCCGGGUAGUCCCAGCUGUAAACGAUGCGGGCUAGGGUGUAGGGGCAGCUACGAGCUGCUCCUGUGCCGCAGAGAAAUUGUUAAGCCCCGCCGCCUGGGGAGUACGAUCGCAAGAUUGAAACUUAAAGGAAUUGGGCGGGGGAGCACCACAAGGGGUGAAGGCUGCGGUUU
This 432-nucleotide ribosomal RNA is filed under the name uncultured archaeon. Its description in RNAcentral is "bacterial SSU rRNA". It matches the Rfam family "Archaeal small subunit ribosomal RNA", at positions 474 to 903 of the family's 1478-position model. The record is from RNAcentral.